Molecule: ribosomal RNA, 448 nt
Filed under: uncultured bacterium
Lineage: Bacteria
Description: partial 16S ribosomal RNA
Rfam family: Bacterial small subunit ribosomal RNA
Source: RNAcentral
GGCCAGACUCCUACGGGAGGCAGCAGUGGGGAAUAUUGGGCAAUGGGCGCAAGCCUGACCCAGCAACGCCGCGUGAAGGAAGAAGGCUUUCGGGUUGUAAACUUCUUUUAAGGGGGAAGAGGAGAAGACGGUACCCCUUGAAUAAGCCACGGCUAACUACGUGCCAGCAGCCGCGGUAAUACGUAGGUGGCAAGCGUUGUCCGGAUUUACUGGGUGUAAAGGGCGUGCAGCCGGGCCGACAAGUCAGAUGUGAAAUCCGCGGGCUUAACCCGCGAACUGCAUUUGAAACUGUUGGUCUUGAGUAUCGGAGAGGCAGGCGGAAUUCCUAGUGUAGCGGUGAAAUGCGUAGAUAUUAGGAGGAACACCAGUGGCGAAGGCGGCCUGCUGGACGACAACUGACGGUGAGGCGCGAAAGCGUGGGGAGCAAACAGGAUUAGAUACCCUCGUA